UACGUAGGGCGCAAGCGUUGUCCGGAAUCAUUGGGCGUAAAGAGCUCGUAGGUGGUCUGUUACGUCUGCUGUGAAAUCCUAGGGCUUAACCCUGGGCCUGCAGUGGAUACGGGCAGACUAGAGGUAGGUAGGGGAGAAUGGAAUUCCCGGUGUAGCGGUGAAAUGCGCAGAUAUCAGGAAGAACACCCGUGGCUAAGGCGGCUCUCUAGUACGGUACUGACGCUGAGACGCGAAAGCGUGGGGAGCGAACAGG
RNAcentral lists this ribosomal RNA (253 nucleotides) under uncultured bacterium. RNAcentral's name for it is "partial 16S ribosomal RNA". It matches the Rfam family "Bacterial small subunit ribosomal RNA", at positions 524 to 776 of the family's 1533-position model. The record is from RNAcentral.